UACGGGGGGGGCAAGCGUUGUUCGGAAUUACUGGGCGUAAAGGGCUCGUAGGUGGCCAACUAAGUCAGACGUGAAAUCCCCAGGCUCAACUUGGGAACUGCGUCUGAUACUGGAUGGCUUGAAUUCGGGAGAGGGAUGCAGAAUUCCAGGUGUAGCGGUGAAAUGCGUAGAUAUCUGGAGGAAUACCGGUGGCGAAGGCGGCAUCCUGGACCGAGUCUGACGCUGAGGCGCGAAAGCUAGGGGAGCAAACAGG
This 253-nucleotide ribosomal RNA is filed under the name uncultured bacterium. Its description in RNAcentral is "partial 16S ribosomal RNA". It matches the Rfam family "Bacterial small subunit ribosomal RNA", at positions 524 to 776 of the family's 1533-position model. The record is from RNAcentral.